This 1330-nucleotide ribosomal RNA is filed under the name Escherichia coli. RNAcentral describes it as "partial 23S ribosomal RNA". It matches the Rfam family "Bacterial large subunit ribosomal RNA", at positions 419 to 1751 of the family's 2925-position model. The record is from RNAcentral. Lineage: Bacteria; Pseudomonadati; Pseudomonadota; Gammaproteobacteria; Enterobacterales; Enterobacteriaceae.
GGGACACGUGGUAUCCUGUCUGAAUAUGGGGGGACCAUCCUCCAAGGCUAAAUACUCCUGACUGACCGAUAGUGAACCAGUACCGUGAGGGAAAGGCGAAAAGAACCCCGGCGAGGGGAGUGAAAAAGAACCUGAAACCGUGUACGUACAAGCAGUGGGAGCACGCUUAGGCGUGUGACUGCGUACCUUUUGUAUAAUGGGUCAGCGACUUAUAUUCUGUAGCAAGGUUAACCGAAUAGGGGAGCCGAAGGGAAACCGAGUCUUAACUGGGCGUUAAGUUGCAGGGUAUAGACCCGAAACCCGGUGAUCUAGCCAUGGGCAGGUUGAAGGUUGGGUAACACUAACUGGAGGACCGAACCGACUAAUGUUGAAAAAUUAGCGGAUGACUUGUGGCUGGGGGUGAAAGGCCAAUCAAACCGGGAGAUAGCUGGUUCUCCCCGAAAGCUAUUUAGGUAGCGCCUCGUGAAUUCAUCUCCGGGGGUAGAGCACUGUUUCGGCAAGGGGGUCAUCCCGACUUACCAACCCGAUGCAAACUGCGAAUACCGGAGAAUGUUAUCACGGGAGACACACGGCGGGUGCUAACGUCCGUCGUGAAGAGGGAAACAACCCAGACCGCCAGCUAAGGUCCCAAAGUCAUGGUUAAGUGGGAAACGAUGUGGGAAGGCCCAGACAGCCAGGAUGUUGGCUUAGAAGCAGCCAUCAUUUAAAGAAAGCGUAAUAGCUCACUGGUCGAGUCGGCCUGCGCGGAAGAUGUAACGGGGCUAAACCAUGCACCGAAGCUGCGGCAGCGACGCUUAUGCGUUGUUGGGUAGGGGAGCGUUCUGUAAGCCUGCGAAGGUGUGCUGUGAGGCAUGCUGGAGGUAUCAGAAGUGCGAAUGCUGACAUAAGUAACGAUAAAGCGGGUGAAAAGCCCGCUCGCCGGAAGACCAAGGGUUCCUGUCCAACGUUAAUCGGGGCAGGGUGAGUCGACCCCUAAGGCGAGGCCGAAAGGCGUAGUCGAUGGGAAACAGGUUAAUAUUCCUGUACUUGGUGUUACUGCGAAGGGGGGACGGAGAAGGCUAUGUUGGCCGGGCGACGGUUGUCCCGGUUUAAGCGUGUAGGCUGGUUUUCCAGGCAAAUCCGGAAAAUCAAGGCUGAGGCGUGAUGACGAGGCACUACGGUGCUGAAGCAACAAAUGCCCUGCUUCCAGGAAAAGCCUCUAAGCAUCAGGUAACAUCAAAUCGUACCCCAAACCGACACAGGUGGUCAGGUAGAGAAUACCAAGGCGCUUGAGAGAACUCGGGUGAAGGAACUAGGCAAAAUGGUGCCGUAACUUCGGGAGAAGGCACGC